Molecule: unclassified non-coding RNA, 244 nt
Filed under: Glomus sp.
Lineage: Eukaryota; Fungi; Glomeromycota; Glomeromycetes; Glomerales; Glomeraceae
Description: partial contains 5.8S ribosomal RNA and internal transcribed spacer 2
Rfam family: 5.8S ribosomal RNA (bases 1-65)
Source: RNAcentral
GUGAAUCAUCGAAUCUUUGAACGCAAAUUGCACUCUCUUGGGAGAGUAUGAGUGUUUGAGGGUCAGCCUAAAAAAAAUCGAUAUCGUUGCUGUUUCGCGGGGUCGUUCGUCGGAAGUUGUGUUCUCUUAUAUCUUUGGUUUAAGCGACUUGAAAUUUUCUUUACGAUUCCAUGACCGUUUCCAAGAUUUAUUUCUUUAUACGUUUAAGGUAUCGAUUUUAUUAUGCGUGGUAGUAAUAUCGGUU